This 455-nucleotide long non-coding RNA is filed under the name Homo sapiens (human). RNAcentral describes it as "HSALNT0321641". The record is from RNAcentral. Lineage: Eukaryota; Metazoa; Chordata; Mammalia; Primates; Hominidae.
CGCGUAGUGCGCCCGUACUCCUCAGCCCUUGGGCGGUCGAUGGGACUGGGCGCGGUGGAGCAGGGGGCGGCGCUCGUUGGGGAGGCUCCCGCCGCGCAGGAGCCCAGGUGGGGGGAGGCGCAGGCAUGGGUGGCUGCAGGUCCCGAGCCCUGCCCCGCGGAGAGGCAGAGAUUGUUUUGCCAGAUUUUUAGAAAAGAGAGAUGAACACCUUUUAAACUCUGAGGAAAGAAAUGGGCUCAUUGGUAUGGAGCAGAACAGAAUACUAGGGUAAUGAAGAUUGUAUGGUGUUGGCAUCAGUGGACCAAUGGAUCAAUGGAACAAAAUGAAGAGUUCAGAAAUAAAUCUACACAUCUACAGUCAACUGAUUUUCAAAAAAUGGCUGCCAAGGUAAGUCAGUGGGAAAGGAUUAGUCCUUUAAAUUUCACAAGAAAAAUUGGAUAUCUAUAUGAAAAAGC